AUGCUUUUCCUCCCUGGCUGUCUGAGGAUAGACCACCAUCAUGAACGGUACAUAACUAUUGGCACUAGAAAGUUCAUGACCAGCUGACAACUUCAGAGGAAACAAAUGGUCAUUGAUAUCUUUCAUCCCCGGAAGGCAACAGUUGCCUAAGACAGAAAUUCGGGAAAAACUAGCCAAAAUGUACAAGACCACACCGGAUGUCAUGUUUGUAUUUGGAUUCAAAACUCAUUUUGAUGGUGGCAAGACAACUGGCUUUGGCAUGAUUUAUGAUUCCCCAGAUUAUGCAAAGAAAAAUGAACCCAAACAUAGACUUGCAAGACAUGGCCUGUAUGAGAAGAAAAAGACCUCAAGAAAGCAGCGAGAGGAAUGCAAGAACAGAAUGAGGAAAGUCAGGGGGACUGCAAAGGCCAAUGUUGGUGCUGGCAAAAAGCUGAAGGAGUAAAGGUGCUGCAAUGGUGUUAUCUGUGGCCAUUGUGGAUUUUUCAUGAGAAGAUUAAUAAACUAAAAACUUUCAUGUGAAAAAAACAAAAACAAA
Mandrillus leucophaeus (drill) is the source of this 535-nucleotide RNA transcript. It is a transcript of the gene named 40S ribosomal protein S24 pseudogene, with no coding region annotated. Lineage: Eukaryota; Metazoa; Chordata; Mammalia; Primates; Cercopithecidae. The transcript has a single exon. The record is from RefSeq and is a predicted model, not a curated record.